RNAcentral lists this ribosomal RNA (252 nucleotides) under uncultured bacterium. RNAcentral's name for it is "partial 16S ribosomal RNA". It matches the Rfam family "Bacterial small subunit ribosomal RNA", at positions 524 to 776 of the family's 1533-position model. The record is from RNAcentral.
UACGUAGGGGGCUAGCGUUGUCCGGAAUCAUUGGGCGUAAAGCGCGUGUAGGCGGUCCGGUAAGUCCGCUGUGAAAGUCGAGGGCUCAACCCUCGAAUGCCGGUGGAUACUGUCGGGCUAGAGUACGGAAGAGGCGAGUGGAAUUCCUGGUGUAGCGGUGAAAUGCGCAGAUAUCAGGAGGAACACCAAUUGCGAAGGCAGCUCGCUGGGACGUACUGACGCUGGAGACGCGAAAGCGUGGGAGCGAACAGG